Molecule: long non-coding RNA, 277 nt
Filed under: Homo sapiens (human)
Lineage: Eukaryota; Metazoa; Chordata; Mammalia; Primates; Hominidae
Description: PREDICTED lncRNA (TCONS_00264647)
Source: RNAcentral
UGCCAUGUGAGAUGUGCCUUUCACCUUCUGCUGUGAUUGUGAGGCCUUCCCAGCCACAUGGAACUGAGACCCAUCUGAUGAAGUGGCACUCCCAAAGAAAAGAUAAAGUCAAAUCUGGCUGGCCAGUUACAACUUCAGAGCUCUUUCAUAACUUUCUGAGGUUGUAGAUAAAUUGGACCUUCGCAGAAGACCGUGGCUGUGGACAAGUAAACAAUUCCUAUCAUACAUUUCUCACUGGAGGGAAAGUUAAAAGUUAGAUUCAAUAAAAGUGACCGCC